UCUCACGCCUUUAAUAACACUGACUGUCACUAAUUUGGCAACUGGAGAAAAACUAUCUGUGUAAUCCAAGUCCAGUAGUUGAUUAUAGCCCUUUGCGACAAGCCUUGCCUUGUACCUGUCCACCUUUCCAUCAGGUAAAUAUUUCACUUUAUACACCCAUUUACAGCCUAUAGGCUUCUUUCCUGCUGGUAAUGUUGUAAGCUGCCAAGUUUGGUUAGCCUCUAAAGCAUUUAAUUCAUUUUGCGUAGCAUUUAUCCAAUUAUUGUCAUGUUUUGCAUGAUCAUAAGAAAAGGGUUCUGAAAUUUUUGACACAUAGGCAACAAAAUUGAGAUGUGAGGGAUGAAAUGUAAUAGAAGAAAUACCUGGAUGAUUUGCCGAAGUGAUGAAGUCAAAAUCAUUGCUUGUAUGGAGUGAUUCGGUUUGCUGGACUACAGCAGCAAAGUCUUGCAACCAAGCAGCUUUGGUGAUCAUUCUUUGACUUCUUCUUGGUGGAGGUGUUGGAACUGACACAUCUGAUGACAUAUGGGAUGGAUGCACAGACACAAUAGGUUGGAGAGGACUAGAAGAAAUUGGUUGUGAUGGAGUAGCUGGUGAAGAAGUGGAAUCAUUGUUAAGGUCAAAACAAGAAGGUAGUGGGAUUAAAGAAUUACCAGGAUGGUGUGUAUGAAGAAAUGGGAAAAUAGAUUCAUAAAACACUACAUCCCUGGAGCUGAAAAUUUUCUUGGACUGCAAAGCAUACAACUUGUAGGCUUUACGUUGAGGAGCAUAGCAUAAUAAGACACAAGGGAUGGCUCUAGGAUCAAAUUUAGUUUUGUGAGGGAAUGCGUUUGUGGCAUAGCAUAGACAACCUGCAACUCUAAAGUAAGAAUAAUCUGGGUUUUUACCAUAUAAUAUUGUAUAUGGUGUUUUCCAGUUUAAAACCUCAGUGGGUAGUCUAUUAAUAAUGUGGGUUGCUGUUAAGAUAGCUUCUGACCAAAAAUGUCUAGGGAAAUUGGCUUGAAACAUGAUGGAUCUAGCUACUUUCAAAGGUGUUUGUGUUUUCUUUCCACAACACCAUUUUGCUGUGGACUGUACACACGACUUCUGGUGAAUAAUUCCUUGAGAAAGAACAAUCUGAUGGCAAGUCUGUUUCAGAAACUCUGUGCCAUUGUCAGUCCUUAUUCUCUUAACUGUUUAGUGAAAUUGAGUUUGAGACAUGAGGGAAAAAAUGUGACAAAACAGAGGGGACUUGAGUUUUAGUAGUAAUCAAAUAAGUCCAGGUAUAUCUGCUACAGUCAUCAACUAUUGUGACUACAAAAGUUGCACCACUUAUAGAAGGAACCCUAUAGGGACCCCACAAAUCAACAUGAAUGAGUUCAAACACUCCAACAGUUGAAAUGCUACUGAUAGAAAAGGGAAUUCUUUGUUGUUUAGACAAGGUAGAGAUGGUGCAAACCUGAUCUGUCAUUUUGUUCAAUUUUAUUACAGAUAUACGAUUCAACUUGGUGUUUGAGGCAUGGCCUAGCCUAUAAUGCCAAAUGACAGAAUUGUCUAAAUAUUGACCAUUACAGGAGGCAUGACAAAUCUGAACAAAAGGAACAGAUACUGAGCUUAGAUCUAAUAUAUACAAUCCAGCUUGAAUUUUUCCGACAGCAAUGACUUCAUUACUCUGCAUAUCCUGCAACAAACACUUGUCAGGGGAAAAGGUUAUUGAUAUAUUUGAGGUUUUGGCAAGGGUACUAACAGACAACAGGUUGCAUGUGAAGUUUGGAACAUGUAAAACAUUUAUUAAAGCAAUUUUUUGGGUUUAAAAUAACAUGUCCUGCAUAUUUCACAUUUUUAUAAGAUCCAUCAGGCAAGUGUACAGGUCUGGGUUUGGAAAUGGAUGUAAUCUGGUCUAAAAAUAAAGUUUAGAACACACAUGGUUAGUUGCCCCUGUGUCAAUAAUCCAUGUGCCUUUAUCCUUAACAUUCAUACUAACAAGACUUGAAUUAGACAACUGACCUGCACAAUCUGCAGCAUUUGCAUAAGAAGUUUCAGCUGCAUUGGCUUUGCCCUUCAUGAUCUUCAUUACCUCCUGUUGAACAAGAUUAGGCAAACUAGCAGCCGAUUCAUCAUACUUGCUUGGAGCCUCAACCUCCAAAGGAGUGUCAGCAUCAUGAGAAACAACAUUAGCCUGCAACCUUCCUUUCUUCUGUUUGAAAUCUUUAUGCCAUUCCGGAUAGCCAAAGAGCUUGAAGCAAGAUUCUCUAACAUGGCCCCCAACAUUACAAAAGGUACAGAAUCUUUCGUCCCUUUUACUGUAAUCUUUCUUCUUAAAACCAGAUUUAAAAUCUCCCAUACCAGUAUCGUUGCAAUGAUUCUGUGAUUUUGCAAACAUCACAGCUGUAGUUUCACUUGACUCAACAAUCACAUUUUGAACCUGCCUUUAUUUCUCAAUGCUAAGUGCCAUUGAGUAAGCUUUGUUAACAUUAGGCAAUGGAUCCAUUAUCAAGAUCUGGUUCUUAACAGUAUCGUAACUUUCAUGAAGUCCCAUCAGGACUUGCAUAAGCCUAUCUUCAUUUUCAAUAUCAGCUACUGCUUUAGAUGCUCCAUAUGUGCAGGCAGGGAAGGGAUGCAAACAGGACAAUUCAUCCCAUUUCUUCUUCGGUUUAGUGAAAUAAACCAUCAGAGACAUAUUUCCCUGACUAAGAGUGCAUAUAUAUCUCUUUGUUUGAAACAGAAGUGGACCAUUACUGUUCCCAAAAUGCUGCUUUAAUUCUUCCCAAAGGUCUUUUGCACAGGUUGUAUGCAAAAAAAGCCUCAACAAUUUAUUUUGAAAUCGAAUUCAAAAUCCAAGAGAUUACCAUACUAUCCACCCUUUGAUAUUUCUCACAGUUGGGUGAAUCAACAGAAGGCAUUUUACACUUUCCGUUAAUGAAACCCAGCUUAUCCUUGGCUCUAAGAGCUAUGAUCAUUGAAUGACUCCAAGAAAGAUAGUUUCCACCAGUUAAUAAGACACUUACCAGACUCAGAUUUGGACGAUCUGAAUUCUGGAGAUGCAAAGGAUCGUUACUCAGAUCUGCAGCUUUCGUAUCAGAACUUUCUGCUGUAGAAUCAGUAAUCAGAGUUUAGGCUGUGAGCUUUGAUGCCAUGAAAACCAGGCUAAAAAGAGCAAGAAAAUAAAGACUAAUAACGCAGAAAUUGAGUAAGAGAAUAAGAAAAAUGAUUCUCGUAUAUCUUGUACAGGAGAGAGUGAUACAAUUUAUAUACAAAUAAAAGAAUAACUGCCUCUGGACACCUGUACAUUCUACUAGCUACCUGUACAUUCUAGAAUACAGCUAUACUAACAAAAUUCUAACAAACCAGCCAGCUCAGCUAAAAAUUUUUCCUCCUUAUCUCUUCAGCUAGCUUGCUAGUAUAUAUUUACAAAACUAUUCAUGUUACUGUUCUAUAGGGUGUAAACAUCA
This 3428-nucleotide unclassified non-coding RNA is filed under the name Hevea brasiliensis (rubber tree). Lineage: Eukaryota; Viridiplantae; Streptophyta; Magnoliopsida; Malpighiales; Euphorbiaceae. The record is from RNAcentral.